RNAcentral lists this ribosomal RNA (497 nucleotides) under uncultured bacterium. Its description in RNAcentral is "partial 16S ribosomal RNA". It matches the Rfam family "Bacterial small subunit ribosomal RNA", at positions 28 to 507 of the family's 1533-position model. The record is from RNAcentral.
GAUGAACGCUGGCGGCGUGCCUAAUACAUGCAAGUCGAGCGAACAGAUGAUGAGCUUGCUCCUCUGACGUUAGCGGCGGACGGGUUAGUAACACGUGGAUAACCUACCUAUAAGACUGGGAUAACUUCGGGAAACCGGAGCUAAUACCGGAUAAUAUAUUGAACCGCAUGGUUCAAUAGUGAAAGACGGUUUUGCUGUCACUUAUAGCUGGAUCCGCGCCGCAUUAGCUAGUUGGUAAGGUAACGGCUUACCAAGGCAACGAUGCGUAGCCGACCUGAGAGGGUGAUCGGCCACACUGGAACUGAGACACGGUCCAGACUCCUACGGGAGGCAGCAGUAGGGAAUCUUCCGCAAUGGGCGAAAGCCUGACGGAGCAACGCCGCGUGAGUGAUGAAGGUCUUCGGAUCGUAAAACUCUGUUAUUAGGGAAGAACAAAUGUGUAAGUAACUAUGCACGUCUUGACGGUACCUAAUCAGAAAGCCACGGCUAACUACGUG